RNAcentral lists this ribosomal RNA (331 nucleotides) under uncultured eukaryote. RNAcentral describes it as "partial 18S ribosomal RNA". It matches the Rfam family "Eukaryotic small subunit ribosomal RNA", at positions 1470 to 1796 of the family's 1831-position model. The record is from RNAcentral.
CCCUUAGAUGUUCUGGGCCGCACGCGCGCUACACUGACGAAGUCAGCGAGCAUGUCCUACGCCGACAGGUGCGGGGAAUCUUGUCAAACUUCGUCGUGAUGGGGAUUGAUUAUUGAAAUUCUUGAUCAUCAACGAGGAAUUCCUAGUAAGCGCAAGUCAGCAGCUUGCGUUGAUUACGUCCCUGCCAUUUGUACACACCGCCCGUCGCUACUACCGAUUGAAUGGUUUAGUGAGAUCUUCGGAUUGGCGCCACUGCGGCUCAGCAAUGGGCUCGGUGGAUGCCGAAAAGUUGAUCAAACUUGAUCAUUUAGAGGAAGUAAAAGUCGUAACA